UUGAGACAUUUAAUUCAAUAUAAAAUGUUAAUUAGUCUUAAAUAAUAAGAAAUGAAAAAAUAUUUUAUAGGAAAAGUAUAAAAAAAAUAUUAAAAAAUAUCUCUUAGAAAAAGGCAAUAAAAUAACUUUAGCAUAUACUAGUUUGUCGAUGAGGGUUGGAGUUUCCUAUUUGCAGCUGAUAACAUAAUUAUCUUAAAUUUUUUUAAAAAAAUACUACCUGAACAUUUGUACAUAGAUAUAAAUCUUACAUACGAAACCAAAACAAAUUUUAA
Molecule: long non-coding RNA, 272 nt
Filed under: Ananas comosus (pineapple)
Lineage: Eukaryota; Viridiplantae; Streptophyta; Magnoliopsida; Poales; Bromeliaceae
Description: long non-coding RNA (ACOM_LNC040923)
Source: RNAcentral